CAUGCACUGAUGGGGUCCUUCGGCCUGGCCUGCGCCCUCUCUCAACCCAGGACCCCUUGGGAGAUGUCGGACUGUUGAUUCCGGCCUGAUCCCUGCAGGCCAGGCUGAGGGACCCCACCGGUGCACG
This 127-nucleotide microRNA precursor is filed under the name Myotis lucifugus (little brown bat). RNAcentral's name for it is "mir-9193 microRNA precursor family". It matches the Rfam family "mir-9193 microRNA precursor family". Lineage: Eukaryota; Metazoa; Chordata; Mammalia; Chiroptera; Vespertilionidae. The record is from Rfam by way of RNAcentral.